Molecule: non-coding RNA, 239 nt
Organism: Prunus mume (Japanese apricot)
Lineage: Eukaryota; Viridiplantae; Streptophyta; Magnoliopsida; Rosales; Rosaceae
Source: RefSeq, a predicted model, not a curated record
GUUAAGUGUGAUCUCUAUAUUUCACCGUGGUUGCUUGUAUUGGCUUAGUUUAUUUGAGGAUAAGGUUUCUGAGUUUAAAAGUGAAGGGUAGGCCUUGCAAGGGAGACUGAUAGCGGAAGGAAAUGAGUUUGAGCAUUGCUUAACAGGAUAUACAUCCAGUGUUCAGCCACUAUUCCAAACAUGAACUUUAAGUGGUACAUUGAACUCGGAUACAUUAUAAUCUACCUAAUUAUCUGAGA